RNAcentral lists this ribosomal RNA (834 nucleotides) under Aspergillus bezerrae. Its description in RNAcentral is "partial large subunit ribosomal RNA". It matches the Rfam family "Eukaryotic large subunit ribosomal RNA", at positions 63 to 913 of the family's 3401-position model. Lineage: Eukaryota; Fungi; Ascomycota; Eurotiomycetes; Eurotiales; Aspergillaceae. The record is from RNAcentral.
AACCAACAGGGAUUGCCUCAGUAACGGCGAGUGAAGCGGCAAGAGCUCAAAUUUGAAAGCUGGCCCCUUCGGGGUCCGCGUUGUAAUUUGCAGAGGAUGCUUCGGGUGCAGCCCCCGUCUAAGUGCCCUGGAACGGGCCGUCAUAGAGGGUGAGAAUCCCGUCUGGGACGGGGUGUCUGCGUCCGUGUGAAGCUCCUUCGAAGAGUCGAGUUGUUUGGGAAUGCAGCUCUAAAUGGGUGGUAAAUUUCAUCUAAAGCUAAAUACUGGCCGGAGACCGAUAGCGCACAAGUAGAGUGAUCGAAAGAUGAAAAGCACUUUGAAAAGAGAGUUAAACAGCACGUGAAAUUGUUGAAAGGGAAGCGUUUGCGACCAGACUCGCCCGCGGGGUUCAGCCGGCAUUCGUGCCGGUGUACUUCCCCGUGGGCGGGCCAGCGUCGGUUUGGGCGGCCGGUCAAAGGCCCUCGGAAUGUAUCACCUCUCGGGGUGUCUUAUAGCCGAGGGUGCAAUGCGGCCUGCCCGGACCGAGGAACGCGCUUCGGCUCGGACGCUGGCGUAAUGGUCGUAAAUGACCCGUCUUGAAACACGGACCAAGGAGUCUAACAUCUACGCGAGUGUUCGGGUGUCAAACCCGUACGCGCAGUGAAAGCGAACGGAGGUGGGAGCCCCCUCGUGGGGCGCACCAUCGACCGAUCCUGAUGUCUUCGGAUGGAUUUGAGUACGAGCGUAGCUGUGGGGACCCGAAAGAUGGUGAACUAUGCCUGAAUAGGGCGAAGCCAGAGGAAACUCUGGUGGAGGCUCGCAGCGGUUCUGACGUGCAAUCGAUCGUCGAAUUUG